GGUUAAGCGACUAAGCGUACACGGUGGAUGCCCUGGCAGUCAGAGGCGAUGAAGGACGUGCUAAUCUGCGAAAAGCGUCGGUAAGGUGAUAUGAACCGUUACAGCCGGCGAUGUCCGAAUGGGGAAACCCAGUGCAAUUCGUUGCACUAUCGUUAACUGAAUACAUAGGUUAACGAGGCGAACCGGGGGAACUGAAACAUCUAAGUACCCCGAGGAAAAGAAAUCAACCGAGAUUCCCCCAGUAGCGGCGAGCGAACGGGGAGCAGCCCAGAGUCUGAAUCAGCUUGUGUGUUAGUGGAACGGUCUGGAAAGUCCGACGGUACAGGGUGAUAGUCCCGUACACCAAAAUGCACAGGCUGUGAACUCGAAGAGUAGGGCGGGACACGUGGUAUCCUGUCUGAAUAUGGGGGGACCAUCCUCCAAGGCUAAAUACUCCUGACUGACCGAUAGUGAACCAGUACCGUGAGGGAAAGGCGAAAAGAACCCCGGCGAGGGGAGUGAAAAAGAACCUGAAACCGUGUACGUACAAGCAGUGGGAGCACCUUCGGGUGUGACUGCGUACCUUUUGUAUAAUGGGUCAGCGACUUAUAUUCUGUAGCAAGGUUAACCGUAUAGGGGAGCCGCAGGGAAACCGAGUCUUAACUGGGCGUUAAGUUGCAGGGUAUAGACCCGAAACCCGGUGAUCUAGCCAUGGGCAGGUUGAAGGUUGGGUAACACUAACUGGAGGACCGAACCGACUAAUGUUGAAAAAUUAGCGGAUGACUUGUGGCUGGGGGUGAAAGGCCAAUCAAACCGGGAGAUAGCUGGUUCUCCCCGAAAGCUAUUUAGGUAGCGCCUCGUGAACUCAUCUUCGGGGGUAGAGCACUGUUUCGGCUAGGGGGUCAUCCCGACUUACCAACCCGAUGCAAACUACGAAUACCGAAGAAUGUUAUCACGGGAGACACACGGCGGGUGCUAACGUCCGUCGUGAAGAGGGAAACAACCCAGACCGCCAGCUAAGGUCCCAAAGUCAUGGUUAAGUGGGAAACGAUGUGGGAAGGCACAGACAGCCAGGAUGUUGGCUUAGAAGCAGCCAUCAUUUAAAGAAAGCGUAAUAGCUCACUGGUCGAGUCGGCCUGCGCGGAAGAUGUAACGGGGCUAAACCAUGCACCGAAGCUGCGGCAGCGACACUAUGUGUUGUUGGGUAGGGGAGCGUUCUGUAAGCCUGCGAAGGUGUGCUGUGAGGCAUGCUGGAGGUAUCAGAAGUGCGAAUGCUGACAUAAGUAACGAUAAAGCGGGUGAAAAGCCCGCUCGCCGGAAGACCAAGGGUUCCUGUCCAACGUUAAUCGGGGCAGGGUGAGUCGACCCCUAAGGCGAGGCCGAAAGGCGUAGUCGAUGGGAAACAGGUUAAUAUUCCUGUACUUGGUGUUACUGCGAAGGGGGGACGGAGAAGGCUAUGUUAGCCGGGCGACGGUUGUCCCGGUUUAAGCAUGUAGGCUGAUUGUCCAGGCAAAUCCGGAUAAUCAAGGCUGAGGUGUGAUGACGAGGCACUACGGUGCUGAAGUAACAAAUGCCCUGCUUCCAGGAAAAGCCUCUAAGCAUCAGGUAACAUCAAAUCGUACCCCAAACCGACACAGGUGGUCAGGUAGAGAAUACCAAGGCGCUUGAGAGAACUCGGGUGAAGGAACUAGGCAAAAUGGUGCCGUAACUUCGGGAGAAGGCACGCUGGUGUGUAGGUGAAGUCCCUGCGGAUGGAGCUGAGACCAGUCGAAGAUACCAGCUGGCUGCAACUGUUUAUUAAAAACACAGCACUGUGCAAACACGAAAGUGGACGUAUACGGUGUGACGCCUGCCCGGUGCCGGAAGGUUAAUUGAUGGGGUUAUCCGUAAGGAGAAGCUCUUGAUCGAAGCCCCGGUAAACGGCGGCCGUAACUAUAACGGUCCUAAGGUAGCGAAAUUCCUUGUCGGGUAAGUUCCGACCUGCACGAAUGGCGUAAUGAUGGCCAGGCUGUCUCCACCCGAGACUCAGUGAAAUUGAACUCGCUGUGAAGAUGCAGUGUACCCGCGGCAAGACGGAAAGACCCCGUGAACCUUUACUAUAGCUUGACACUGAACAUUGAGCCUUGAUGUGUAGGAUAGGUGGGAGGCUUUGAAGCGUGGACGCCAGUCUGCGUGGAGCCAACCUUGAAAUACCACCCUUUAAUGUUUGAUGUUCUAACGUUGGCCCCUUACCGGGGUUGCGGACAGUGUCUGGUGGGUAGUUUGACUGGGGCGGUCUCCUCCCAAAGCGUAACGGAGGAGCACGAAGGUUAGCUAAUCCUGGUCGGACAUCAGGAGGUUAGUGCAAUGGCAUAAGCUAGCUUGACUGCGAGCGUGACGGCGCGAGCAGGUGCGAAAGCAGGUCAUAGUGAUCCGGUGGUUCUGAAUGGAAGGGCCAUCGCUCAACGGAUAAAAGGUACUCCGGGGAUAACAGGCUGAUACCGCCCAAGAGUUCAUAUCGACGGCGGUGUUUGGCACCUCGAUGUCGGCUCAUCACAUCCUGGGGCUGAAGUAGGUCCCAAGGGUAUGGCUGUUCGCCAUUUAAAGUGGUACGCGAGCUGGGUUUAGAACGUCGUGAGACAGUUCGGUCCCUAUCUGCCGUGGGCGCUGGAGAAUUGAGGGGGGCUGCUCCUAGUACGAGAGGACCGGAGUGGACGCAUCACUGGUGUUCGGGUUGUCAUGCCAAUGGCACUGCCCGGUAGCUAAAUGCGGAAGAGAUAAGUGCUGAAAGCAUCUAAGCACGAAACUUGCCCCGAGAUGAGUUCUCCCUGAGACUUUAAGUCUCCUGAAGGAACGUUGAAGACGACGACGUUGAUAGGCCGGGUGUGUAAGCGCAGCGAUGCGUUGAGCUAACCGGUACUAAUGAACCGUGAGGCUUAACCUU
Molecule: ribosomal RNA, 2902 nt
Filed under: Klebsiella pneumoniae
Lineage: Bacteria; Pseudomonadati; Pseudomonadota; Gammaproteobacteria; Enterobacterales; Enterobacteriaceae
Description: 23S ribosomal RNA
Rfam family: Bacterial large subunit ribosomal RNA
Source: RNAcentral